AGAGUUUGAUCAUGGCUCAGAUUGAACGCUGGCGGCAUGCCUUACACAUGCAAGUCGAACGGCAGCACGGGUGCUUGCACCUGGUGGCGAGUGGCGAACGGGUGAGUAAUAUAUCGGAACGUACCCUAGAGUGGGGGAUAACGUAGCGAAAGUUACGCUAAUACCGCAUACGAUCUACGGAUGAAAGUGGGGGAUCGCAAGACCUCAUGCUCAUGGAGCGGCCGAUAUCUGAUUAGCUAGUUGGUGAGGUAAAAGCUCACCAAGGCUUCGAUCAGUAGCUGGUCUGAGAGGACGACCAGCCACACUGGAACUGAGACACGGUCCAGACUCCUACGGGAGGCAGCAGUGGGGAAUUUUGGACAAUGGGCGCAAGCCUGAUCCAGCAAUGCCGCGUGAGUGAAGAAGGCCUUCGGGUUGUAAAGCUCUUUUGUCAGGGAAGAAACGGAUUUUUCAAAUACAGAGAUCUAAUGACGGUACCUGAAGAAUAAGCACCGGCUAACUACGCGCCAGCAGCCGCGGUAAUACGUAGGGUGCAAGCGUUAAUCGGAAUUACUGGGCGUAAAGCGUGCGCAGGCGGUUGUGCAAGACAGAUGUGAAAUCCCCGGGCUCAACCUGGGAAUUGCAUUUGUGACUGCACGGCUAGAGUGUGUCAGAGGGGGGUAGAAUUCCACGUGUAGCAGUGAAAUGCGUAGAGAUGUGGAGGAAUACCGAUGGCGAAGGCAGCCCCCUGGGAUAACACUGACGCUCAUGCACGAAAGCGUGGGGAGCAAACAGGAUUAGAUACCCUGGUAGUCCACGCCCUAAACGAUGUCUACUAGUUGUCGGGUCUUAAUUGACUUGGUAACGCAGCUAACGCGUGAAGUAGACCGCCUGGGGAGUACGGUCGCAAGAUUAAAACUCAAAGGAAUUGACGGGGACCCGCACAAGCGGUGGAUGAUGUGGAUUAAUUCGAUGCAACGCGAAAAACCUUACCUACCCUUGACAUGUCUGGAAUCCCUGAGAGAUUAGGGAGUGCUCGAAAGAGAAUCAGAACACAGGUGCUGCAUGGCUGUCGUCAGCUCGUGUCGUGAGAUGUUGGGUUAAGUCCCGCAACGAGCGCAACCCUUGUCAUUAGUUGCUACGAAAGGGCACUCUAAUGAGACUGCCGGUGACAAACCGGAGGAAGGUGGGGAUGACGUCAAGUCCUCAUGGCCCUUAUGGGUAGGGCUUCACACGUCAUACAAUGGUACAUACAGAGGGCCGCCAACCCGCGAGGGGGAGCUAAUCCCAGAAAGUGUAUCGUAGUCCGGAUUGGAGUCUGCAACUCGACUCCAUGAAGUUGGAAUCGCUAGUAAUCGCGGAUCAGCAUGUCGCGGUGAAUACGUUCCCGGGUCUUGUACACACCGCCCGUCACACCAUGGGAGCGGGUUUCACCAGAAGUGGGUAGCCUAACCGCAAGGAGGGCGCUCACCACGGUGGGAUUCGUGACUGGGGUGAGGUCGUAACAAGGUA
Molecule: ribosomal RNA, 1491 nt
Filed under: metagenome
Description: bacterial SSU rRNA
Rfam family: Bacterial small subunit ribosomal RNA
Source: RNAcentral